GAUGAACGCUGACAGAAUGCUUAACACAUGCAAGUCAACUGUGGCGGACGGGUGAGUAACGCGUAAAGAACUUGCCUCACGGAUAGGGACAACAUUUGGAAUCGAAUGCUAAUACCUGAUACUGUGAGAGAGCUUUGCAUCCCAUUAGCUAGUUGGAGAGGUAACGGCUCACCAAGGCGAUGAUGGGUAGCCGGCCUGAGAGGGUGAUCGGCCACAAGUGGAAUGAGAAACCGCCCUUAAUCCUACGGGAGGCAGCAGUGGGGAAUAUUGGACAAGGGACCAAAGUCUGAUCCAGCAAUUCUGUGUGCACGAUGAAGUUGUCGGAAUGUAAAGUGCUUUCAGUUGGGAAGCGGUACCAACAGAAGAAGUGACGGCUAAAUACGAGCCAGCAGCCGCGGUAAUAC
This 404-nucleotide ribosomal RNA is filed under the name uncultured bacterium. Its description in RNAcentral is "partial 16S ribosomal RNA". It matches the Rfam family "Bacterial small subunit ribosomal RNA", at positions 28 to 526 of the family's 1533-position model. The record is from RNAcentral.